This 435-nucleotide ribosomal RNA is filed under the name Myriotrema aff. myriotremoides Kalb 39044. RNAcentral's name for it is "eukaryotic LSU rRNA". It matches the Rfam family "Eukaryotic large subunit ribosomal RNA", at positions 494 to 950 of the family's 3401-position model. The record is from RNAcentral. Lineage: Eukaryota; Fungi; Ascomycota; Lecanoromycetes; Ostropales; Graphidaceae.
CAGCAUCGAUACAAACGGUCUAAAAAAGGAAUUAGAAAAGUGGCUCCUUCCGGGGAGUGUUACAGCCCGGGACUCAAUGCGGCCAGCCGGGACCGAGGGUCGCGCAUUCGCUAGGAUGCUGGCGUAAUGGUUGCCAGCGACCCGUCUUGAAACACGGACCAAGGAGUCGACCAACCGCGCGAGUGUUUGGGUAUAAAACCCAUGCGCGUAAUGAACGUGAACGGAGGUGGGAGCCCUCGGGCCCCAUCGACCGAUCUUGAUGUUUUCGGAUGGAUUUGAGUAAGAGCGUGGUUGGCCGGACCCGAAAGAUGGUGAACUAUGCGUGAAUAGGGUGAAGCCAGAGGAAACUCUGGUGGAGGCUCACAGCGGUUCUGACGUGCAAAUCGAUCGUCAAAUUUGCGCAUAGGGGCGAAAGACUAAUCGAACCAUCAGUCC